UCUUUUUUGUUUGUUUGUGUUUUGAGAUGGAGUCUUGUUCUGUGGCCAGGCUAGAGUACAAUGGCGCAAUCUUGGCUCACUGCAACCUCCGCCUCCCAGGUUCAAAAAAUUGUGCCUCAGCCAGCCAAGUAGCUGGGAUUACAGGUGUGUGCCACGAUGCCUGGCUAUUUUUUGUGUUUUUAGUAGAGGCAGGGUUUCAAUAUGUUGGCCAGGCUGGUCUCGAACUCCUGACCUCAGGUGAUUCACCCACCUCGGCCUCCCAAAGUGCUGGGAUUACAGGUGUAAACCACGGCGCCCGGCCUCAUGAGGGUCUAUUCUUUACAUUCACCAUGGUCUGAUGGUUGCUACAUGUUUGUCUAUGAUUUUUUUUUUCUAUUAUCAGGUGUCUUGGCCGUUUUAUGCCCCAUGAUGAAAGGGCCAAAGGUUUUCAUAUGAGUAAAAGAAAAAAGCAGAAAUGUGAAACCUACAAUUAAGCUAAACAAAAAUCAAUUGGAAAAGUACAGGUUGGGGGGAGAAGAGUUGGCUACAUAUUUAUGUUGGGGGAGGAGGCAGUACAUUUUAGCUAUGUAUUCAAACAGCUAAUAGUUUAAUGUUGCUGCUUGUAAACUUAAUUUUAGGCUGCAUUAAUAAAAGCGUAGUCUCCAAAACAAGAAA
This is a long non-coding RNA of Mandrillus leucophaeus (drill), 654 nucleotides long. RefSeq lists it as uncharacterized. The record is from RefSeq and is a predicted model, not a curated record. Lineage: Eukaryota; Metazoa; Chordata; Mammalia; Primates; Cercopithecidae. The transcript is spliced from 2 exons.